GACGUAGGGCGCGAGCGUUGUCCGGAUUUAUUGGGCGUAAAGGAGCUACGUAGGCGGCUUGUCGCGUCGAAUGUGAAAACCCACGGCUCAACUGUGGGCUUGCAUUCGAUACGGGCAGGCUAGAGUUCGGUAGGGGAGACUGGAAUUCCUGGUGUAGCGGUGAAAUGCGCAGAUAUCAGGAAGAACACCCGUGGCUAAGGCGGCUCUCUAGUACGGUACUGACGCUGAGACGCGAAAGCGUGGGGAGCGAACAGG
Molecule: ribosomal RNA, 255 nt
Filed under: uncultured bacterium
Lineage: Bacteria
Description: partial 16S ribosomal RNA
Rfam family: Bacterial small subunit ribosomal RNA
Source: RNAcentral